This 555-nucleotide small RNA is filed under the name Pongo abelii (Sumatran orangutan). RNAcentral's name for it is "processed transcript". Lineage: Eukaryota; Metazoa; Chordata; Mammalia; Primates; Hominidae. The record is from RNAcentral.
UUUACUUGUGGUUCAGGUUCCAAUGGCAGAUGGGGCACUGGCCAGAGGGGUUAGGAGGAUUUGGACUCUUCUUGGGAGUCGCUGUGAUACAGCCUUCAAUUAUAGUUGUCUUUCCUUCUUGGAUCUCCACCACGUCCCUGAACCUGCGAGCUGGAAGCUGAGAUCAGCUGGUCACUGCUGGGCCUGCUAGGAGCCCACAGGGAAGCUGCCCACAGCCAGACACCAGAGCCUCAAAGGCCGCCAUCUUGAAAAACCGACUCUGACCUCCACAAUGAUUGAUUUUCAAAUGUUGAACCAGCUUUGCAGAACUAUAAUAAACCCAAGUGUGAUACCCUGUCUCAAGUAUUGCAGUGAUCAAAUAGGACCAGUGACUUUUGAGGAUGUGGCUGUGCUUUUCAAUGAGGCAGAGUGGAAGAGACUUAGCCUUGAGCAGAGGAACCUAUACAAAGAAGUGAUGCUGGAAAAUCUCAGGAAUCUGGUCUCGUUGGCAGAAUCAAAGCCAGAAGUCCAUACCUGCCCUUCUUGCCCUCUGGCCUUUGGCAGUCAGCAAUUCCU